AGUAAUGUCAUACAUCCGAGAUCGAAAUUUGAGAUUAUUGCAUUUUGACUUUUUCUUUCGAGACAUCAGUGCACACAUGCUUGAACUAGUAGGUCAAAAAUGAGAGAUGUUUAGGAGGGUUUGGAGAAGACUAGGACAGCCAUGUGGGCACAUCAUUCCUCACACACUCCUUGACGGAGAUGUAAUAUGCGAGUGUCGAGACAAAACACGAUAUACCAAAAAGUUUUGCCCCGGUUUAGUGUUUGGGAAAAUGAGCAUAGGAGUAUGGAUCCAUGAAAAUUAGGGUUAACAAAUCAAAUGAACUUCCAAAUCUGCCCCAGUCUUGGGAUCAUAGGUUGAUGAAAAAAUUGUAUGAGACUCACAAAGCUGCCCCAGUCUUGGGAUCAUGGGUUGAUGAAAAAUUUGUAUAAGACUCACAAAGUUGCCUCAGUUUUUUCCUUAGCAAAGGGUUCCGUUUGGAAGAGGUAGUGGGCAUGAAAAAGAUUGGCUAAAAGGACGACCCCAAUUGGUUUGAUUUUCUUUUACAUGCUUUGGCUAGUUGGCAAGGAGAUCCCCUCUACCCGAGACAUUAUCUUCUUCUCUUUUUUGUCAUUCAUUUUCAACUUUUUUUUUCUUUACGACACAAUGAAAGUCAUUUCGCCUUAUCACAAAAUUAAGCUUUAUGAAAAAUUGAGCAAACAUUAUCCAAUCUGUGUGGGCUUUUUUAGGCUUGUAACGUGGCUAGG
This 725-nucleotide long non-coding RNA is filed under the name Vigna radiata. Its description in RNAcentral is "long non-coding RNA (VRAD_LNC016222)". Lineage: Eukaryota; Viridiplantae; Streptophyta; Magnoliopsida; Fabales; Fabaceae. The record is from RNAcentral.